RNAcentral lists this ribosomal RNA (631 nucleotides) under Plasmodium chabaudi chabaudi. It matches the Rfam family "Eukaryotic small subunit ribosomal RNA", at positions 462 to 1048 of the family's 1831-position model. The record is from RNAcentral. Lineage: Eukaryota; Apicomplexa; Aconoidasida; Haemosporida; Plasmodiidae.
AGGUAGUGACAAGAAAUAACAAUAUAAGGCCAAAUUUUGGUUUUAUAAUUGGAAUGAUGGGAACUUAAAAUCUUCCCAAAACUCAAUUGGAGGGCAAGUCUGGUGCCAGCAGCCGCGGUAAUUCCAGCUCCAAUAGCGUAUAUUAAAAUUGUUGCAGUUAAAACGCUCGUAGUUAAAUUUCAUAGGAUUAAAAUAUUGUAAGUAACGUGCUUGGCGAGAUUCAUCGUGACUCUGUCAUUGUACUCUGCCUCGCCGUACUUUUAAUUAUAGAUUCCUUUGAGAGCCUAAUGUGAAUCAUCACAGGGCUCCAGUUACUUUGAGUAAAUUAGAGUGUUUAAAGCAAAUAUAUAUAAUUGGUAUAAUUACUGUGUUUGAAUACUAUAGCAUGGAAUAACAACAUUGAAUAGGUCAAAAAUUUUUGAAAUUUUUCUUGUUUUGGCUUAGAUACAGUUAAUAGGAGUAGAUUGGAGGCAUUUGUAUUCAGAUGCUAGAGGUGAAAUUCUUAGAUUUUCUGGAGACAAACAACUGCGAAAGCAUUUGCCUAAAAUACUUCCAUUAAUCAAGAACGAAAGUUAAGGGAGUGAAGACGAUCAGAUACCGUCGUAAUCUUAACCAUAAACUAUGCCGACUA